Lolium rigidum is the source of this 2234-nucleotide long non-coding RNA. RefSeq lists it as uncharacterized. The record is from RefSeq and is a predicted model, not a curated record. Lineage: Eukaryota; Viridiplantae; Streptophyta; Magnoliopsida; Poales; Poaceae. The transcript is spliced from 3 exons.
GUAGACGUGUGUAUGAUGUUGAUGUCGAGGUAGCGGAGCGUGAUGUAGCCAUGGUCGUGGUUGUCGCGGUCGGUGUAGCCGAUAGAGCCGAAUGCGCAAAAAUUUUUUUUGCACGGUUUUGUGUCGUAGGGCGGCGGCGGCAGGUUUUCUGCGACGGCGGCAGGUUUUUGUGUCGUAGCGUGGCGGCGGCAGGUUUUCUGCGGCGGCGGCGGAGUUUUUACCAGGCGGGCGAGGCGAUUGUAGGAUCGCCCUAGCAGAGCGCCGGCGAGUUUUUAGGCGGCGGCGGCAGGGUUUCUGCGGCGGCGGCGGGGUUCUUGGUUGUCAUUGGCGGCGUGCAGCGGCGACUCGCAUCGAAGUGGCGGCUACGGGCAGCAAGGUUUUGUUUUUGAUGGCUUUCGGCGACGAUUCGCAUGAUGUAGACCUUGGCGUUGUUUGGUGUUGGCGAUGUAGAACUCAACGAAGAGCUUGAUGUAGUCGUACAACUUGACGUAGUUCUUCAUGUUGGUGCAGAUCGGCGACGAUGUAGUUGUCCAAUGUCGAUGAAGAUCUUGAUGGUGCUGAAGCUGGGUCGAUGUCGUUCCGGCUUGACGCAGUGUAGAUGUCGGUGUCGGGCGCGACGUGAGCGUCUCCUGGUAGCCGGCUGGAUCGGCCGGCGGAUUCGCACGUACGUGAGAUUCCAGGAUUCAGUCAGCACCAUACACUGCACGGAUCCUGCCGCGCACCACCGUCUGCGCGGAAUUUGCACCAAUCUUCACCGGAGUAUGAGAGGAUCUGGUAGAUUUGUAGGGAUUUUAUUUGGCUAAUUGGAUCUAAUCUAUAAGCUGGAAUUUCGAAAAACAAUCUACGAUCUAAUCUAGAGAACCGAUCUAAUCUUUGAUCGAGACCGGGUGCCGCGCCCCCGAGGAGAGAUCUCCCCGGGGGCGGCGAUCAUUGCGGAAGUGGUGGAAGUUCCUAAGAUCGGCGUCGUGAGACUAGCCGCUCUGAUACCAUGUGGAAAAAUAUAGAACCCUAAUAUUUCGUUGUAUUGAUCUGGACCCUGGUGAGGGGUUUAUAUAGGAGUACAAAGGGAGGUUCUUGGAGUACAAGACAAGUUGUGCUAAGUUUAAACCGACUAUAUCUCUAGCUCUAAAUACUCCAAUAUCUCUACGUAUUAUACUUCUAACACUCAUAUCAGAACCUUGCAAGCAAGAAAAGAGCUGUAUACUUCGCAACCCAGUAUUUGAAGAGCUAGCAUGGUAGGUGCAAGCAUUUUACCUCUAGGUGUUGCAAGGAAUUUGUGAGGAUCCCCAUAGAGGACUGCAUAGUAUGAUUUUGAUUGUUGUUGAAAAUUGAUUUCUCAUAAGAUACAUUUCUAUUUAUAACAUUGUACUUGGAGUGCAAUUUUGCAAGUCUGAUUGAUUGAUAUGUUGUCCUCAUAUCAGAAUCUUGCAAGCAAGAAAAAUACCAGGUCACUCAGCAUAUGGUUCUCGCAUAAAUUUUCCAGUUAAUGAUUUUCUGUAUUUUUAUCACUUUUCUACUUGAAUUUUGAAGAGUGCGAUGAUUGCAAGGAUUUUCCUACUAGGUGUUGCAAAGGCUGAUGAAAUUGUUGGACUGGGAAAAAAUCAAUGAGUACACCACUCUAGAAAAUUAUCAUUGCAAACUAGCAAUACUUUCUUUUUUAUGUUCCUGGAGAUGCAGGAACUAGAAAAUAAGGCUCCGCAGAAAAUAGCCUCGAAAUUAAGCGUCUAAAAGGAUUUUGAACAGAUAACAGCACAAACGCAACACAAGAUGUUCAUGGGAACCGACACCAUCUCGACGCGUCGUACCGUGAUCUCUCCCACUUCUUCUGAAGUUUAUGGUGAUUGCUGGAAAAGGUAUGUGACUUACCUGUUUAAGAUAAAUUAUAAUCAUAUGAGUGAUUCAGGGCCUCAUGGGGAACUAUAUUUUUGCCGGGUUGUGUAAGACAUGCAUCACAUAAUAUUACUGAGACAUAAAUCCCAUGGUGAAGUUCUUGCCUCGAUCGCGCUUCUCACCCCAUGGAUAAUUUGGAAGCAGCGCAACGACUGCGUGUUCAAUGGGGCAGAACCAUCCGUCCACAAUGUUGUCGCCAAGAUCAGAGAUGAAGCUGCCCUUUGGGCCAGGGCUGGUGCGCCGGGCCUGCGUGUUCUCCUGCUGCCCACCUGGGAUGUUCACUGAGCUGUACCUUUUUGUUUUCCAUUCUGAGACCUGCCGCCUAGGAGGAUUGUAACAACAAA